This 243-nucleotide long non-coding RNA is filed under the name Brassica napus (rape). Its description in RNAcentral is "long non-coding RNA (BNAP_LNC025480)". The record is from RNAcentral. Lineage: Eukaryota; Viridiplantae; Streptophyta; Magnoliopsida; Brassicales; Brassicaceae.
GUAGGGUCAGCGUGCUGAGUCCAAGGACCAACGUGCUGAUAUGUGUACUGAUGGACAGCCAGGAACGUCCAGUGUAAGACCCGUUCCUGGUCUCUCGACCCAACUGGAUAUGAAUGCUUACUUAUUAAUUUCUUUGCUUGUCUGAUUCAUUCUAAGUCUUUUACUCACUAAGUCAUAUUCGAAUAUGAGGUUCGUAAACAAAGGAACAGAUUGCACAGCGGAAUAAUAAUGUGUUAACUUUGU